AUACGUAGGUGGCAAGCGUUGUCCGGAAUUAUUGGGCGUAAAGCGCGCGCAGGCGGUCCUUUAAGUCUGAUGUGAAAGCCCACGGCUCAACCGUGGAGGGUCAUUGGAAACUGGGGGACUUGAGUGCAGAAGAGGAAAGUGGAAUUCCAAGUGUAGCGGUGAAAUGCGUAGAGAUUUGGAGGAACACCAGUGGCGAAGGCGACUUUCUGGUCUGUAACUGACGCUGAGGCGCGAAAGCGUGGGGAGAAAACAGGAUUAGAUACCCUGGCAGUCCACGCCGUAAACGAUGAGUGCUAAGUGUUAGGGGGUUUCCGCCCCUUAGUGCUGCAGCUAACGCAUUAAGCACUCCGCCUGGGGAGUACGGUCGCAAGACUGAAACUCAAAUGAAUUGACGGGG
Molecule: ribosomal RNA, 397 nt
Filed under: uncultured bacterium
Lineage: Bacteria
Description: partial 16S ribosomal RNA
Rfam family: Bacterial small subunit ribosomal RNA
Source: RNAcentral